This is a long non-coding RNA of Folsomia candida, 616 nucleotides long. RefSeq lists it as uncharacterized. The record is from RefSeq and is a predicted model, not a curated record. The transcript has 3 exons. Lineage: Eukaryota; Metazoa; Arthropoda; Collembola; Entomobryomorpha; Isotomidae.
UAUAAACACAUUCCUGGUAUUAAGAUAAUGACGUCACGCCGAGAUAUAAAAAAAGAUGUUGUUAUACAUAUUUUCUCACAAGCAUUUUUUAGAAUACACACUUCUUGACUUUGAUUUUGGAAAUUUUGUGUAUGAGUACUUCAUUCGGAGCAACCUAAUAAUAGUUGAGAGAUUUACAUCACAAAGAAAAUGGCUCCUCGUAUUAAGACGACAACAUUCCAAUGCUUGAAAUGUUUUAGGAGAUUCUUAAAUCGUCAGCAUUUUGCGUCACAUUUACUAAGGCACCGAGAUGAAAACAAGAGAAAAUUGUGUCAAUAUUGUACCAUGUCAUUCAGGUCGUCUAAAUUGUUAGAAGUACAUAUGAAUACUUAUCAUAGAUGUGAAUAUUGUGACUUCUCAGCCAACAUUUUUGAUCUUAUAGAGCACAAUGAAGCUCAUAAAAGAAUAGCUAUAAAAUCCAUGAAAUUUGAUCAAAGAGGAAGAGGGCUACGACUGAAUGCUUUCCCUUUCACUGAAAUUGAAGCCUUUAAAGGCUUUAUGAAAACUUACAGAUUUAGACAUACACAUGAGGAUAAUAAUAUUAUUUCUGUUAGAGAUUUUUUUAAUAGAUUUAAGU